GGGACCGUAGCGCAGCCCGGGAGCGCGAGCGGCUGAAGACCGCUGUGUCCGGGGUUCAAAUCCCCGCGGUCCCA
Molecule: transfer RNA, 74 nt
Filed under: Candidatus Nanoarchaeia archaeon
Lineage: Archaea; Nanobdellati; Nanobdellota; Candidatus Nanoarchaeia
Also listed under: 1 other name
Description: tRNA-Phe
Rfam family: tRNA
About the family: Transfer RNA (tRNA) molecules are approximately 80 nucleotides in length. Their secondary structure includes four short double-helical elements and three loops (D, anti-codon, and T loops).
Source: RNAcentral